Non-coding RNA from Drosophila virilis, 744 nucleotides. NCBI's taxonomy places the organism in Eukaryota, Metazoa, Arthropoda, Insecta, Diptera, Drosophilidae. The record is from RefSeq and is a predicted model, not a curated record.
UUGUUUUUUUUUUUUUUUUCUGUUGUUGUAUUCUUGCUUUCUUUUGGAAUGGUUCUAAUCAAUUCCAAGUCAUUAAGCACACGCAUGAGAGCUGUCAGUGUGUAAGUGCGUUUGUGUAAGUGUGCGGCAAUUUUGUUUGAGUUAAAGCUAUGGGGCUUUAAGCGCGUUGCUGGCCAUAAAUCAGAGGCGUGACGGCGCACAAAGGGCAGCUGACAAAGCUCAAAAGCUGUGCGGCCUUGAGUGCCCAUCGAUACGAGAAGCUGCGCGUUUGCGAGUUGCCUUAAUAAAAUCAUAAAAUUUGCCUCGAGCCAACAUUAAAGGCUUUUGGCCAGCCAUAAAAACGUCGUCGUUCGCAAUCCCAAUGCCAUUUUGAUAUGCCCCACACGCGCCGCAGCUGAUAAACUGAACAGCAUCGGGCAUUUAUGGUCUCACAUGGUCGCUGGGACUCGAUACGUAAUGUAAGUGGCGUAAAUUGUGGUCAAGAGGAUGCCAGCCAUACGUGGCACAGAAACAAUGCUACAUAGCGCCAACCGAAAUUUUUUCAAAUAUGUGUAUGUGUGGCUGAUCAAUGUCCUACAGUUGCAAGCAAUUUUACGAUUUUUUAUGAGCGCGUGUGUGAGCGUGCCUGCGAGUGUAAAAUAUGACAGUUCACGUCUGCGUAUUAUAUAAAAUGUAAUUUCAGUUAACAGAAAAAUUAUAAACUGCGCCAGGACACUUUUGCACUUUCCACUUUUUCGCUUGUAA